UUCGUGCUCGAAAGAGAACCUGCACACAGGUGCUGCAUGGCUGUCGUCAGCUCGUGUCGUGAGAUGUUGGGUUAAGUCCCCGCAACGAGCGCAACCCUUGCCAUCAGUUGCUACGAAAGGGCACUCUGAUGGGACUGCCGGUGACAAACCGGAGGAAGGUGGGGAUGACGUCAAGUCCUCAUGGCCCUUAUAGGUGGGGCUACACACGUCAUACAAUGGCCGGUACAAAGGGCAGCCAACCCGCGAGGGGGAGCCAAUCCCAUAAAGCCGGUCGUAGUCCGGAUCGCAGUCUGCAACUCGACUGCGUGAAGUCGGAAUCGCUAGUAAUCGUGGAUCAGCAUGUCACGGUGAAUACGUUCCCGGGUCUU
RNAcentral lists this ribosomal RNA (368 nucleotides) under uncultured Allobrachymonas sp. RNAcentral's name for it is "bacterial SSU rRNA". It matches the Rfam family "Bacterial small subunit ribosomal RNA", at positions 1011 to 1382 of the family's 1533-position model. Lineage: Bacteria; Pseudomonadati; Pseudomonadota; Betaproteobacteria; Burkholderiales; Comamonadaceae. The record is from RNAcentral.